RNAcentral lists this long non-coding RNA (497 nucleotides) under Musa acuminata (dwarf banana). Its description in RNAcentral is "long non-coding RNA (MACU_LNC006837)". Lineage: Eukaryota; Viridiplantae; Streptophyta; Magnoliopsida; Zingiberales; Musaceae. The record is from RNAcentral.
GAGGCGCUCCUGGAGGAGGACGUCGGCCUGCCGGAGCUGGACAAGGUCGUGUACAUGCAUGGCGUCGACAAGGAGGGCCAUCCCGUGUGCUACAACGUCUACGGUGAGUUCCACGACAAGGAGCUCUACGAGAAGACAUUCGGCGACGCGGACAAGCGGCGCAAGUUCCUCAAGUGGAGGAUCCAGUACCUCGAGAAGGGGAUCAGGGAGAAGCUGGACUUCACUCCUGGUGGCAUCUCCUCCAUGGUUCAGGUGACAGAUCUCAAGAACUCGCCACGGAUCGGGAAGCAUCGGCAGGUCACGAAGCAAGCCGUCACUCUGCUCCAGGACAACUACCCCGAGUUCAUCGCCAAGAAGGUGACACAUAGCAUCUUUAAUACACACUCUUCUGGUCUUGUUUUGCCAUUGAAUUAACUGGAAAGGAGCAACGAUGCUUACCAAACUGUCAGGUGUUCAUCAAUGUUCCAUGGUGGUAUUUGGCUGUCAACCGGAUGAUG